ACGAAGGGUGCAAGCGUUAAUCGGAAUUACUGGGCGUAAAGGGUGCGUAGGCGGUUCGUUAAGUCUGUUGUGAAAUCCCCGGGCUCAACCUGGGAAUGGCAAUGGAUACUGGCGAGCUAGAGUGUGUCAGAGGAUGGUGGAAUUCCCGGUGUAGCGGGGAAAUGCGUAGAGAUCGGGAGGAAAAGAAGUGGCGAAGGCGGCCAUCUGGGACAAAACUGACGCUC
This 224-nucleotide ribosomal RNA is filed under the name uncultured prokaryote. RNAcentral describes it as "partial 16S ribosomal RNA". It matches the Rfam family "Bacterial small subunit ribosomal RNA", at positions 525 to 748 of the family's 1533-position model. The record is from RNAcentral.